CACCAUUCCAAGGGAAGCUGUCCUUUCUCUACACGUCCUCAAGGUAUUCUGCCCCCACCCUGCCCCAGUCCACCUUUUCAGAAGUGUGUAGGAGGCAGCAGGUUGGCUCAGAUGAUAGGGACCUCCAGGACAGGGCAGGAGUUGAGGCUGAUUGACCACAUGUAGGAGACCCUCCAGAAACAUCAUUUGAUGGAGCUGGGAAGAGGAAGCCUUAACUGUCAUCUCCGCUGCCAUCCCCAUGGCCUGCUGCCUGCUUUUCCAACUGACCUCUCACCUAGGAAACCCCAGCAGGGCCAGUGCAGGGGUGGGGGCCUCCAUCCCUUGAAGUUCCAGCUCAUGCCUCGGCCGACACCUGGAGAAGAGCCUUGAGAACCUGUAUCCAGUAGUGCCUACCUCCCACUGCAGGACCAGCUCAGCAGCACCUGCAGAUCCAGAAACGGUACAACCACGAUGAGCACAAGGUUCAGUGCAGUUUUUUCAUCACCCUGGCACUCACACACAAGAGCUGGGAUCAGUGACAGCCGAAUGAUGCCCAGCACACAGCUAGGGGCCUAGGGACAGAGACCCCCCACACUUGGGUGAGGAACCAGCCAAAACGCAAACUUGUGGUUGUCAUGAUGACCAGGUUCUCUGUUCUAGUUCUCCACCUAACCCACCACAGACCUCAACACUUUGCUUGAUCAUCUCUGGAGAUGAAGAAGCCACCAAGUCUCUCACCACCGGCUAAGGAGCUCUGGGAGGCUGACAGCCAGGCUCCUCUAGCCUCUGCCCUUUGCUUCAGCUCCUGUUGAGGCCCAAGUCCUCACCUUCUCCAAAUGCUGCUAACAUCCUCAUUCCCACCCAGACCUUUCCUAGGUAAAAU
RNAcentral lists this long non-coding RNA (862 nucleotides) under Marmota monax (woodchuck). The record is from RNAcentral. Lineage: Eukaryota; Metazoa; Chordata; Mammalia; Rodentia; Sciuridae.